RNAcentral lists this ribosomal RNA (402 nucleotides) under Sphingomonas sp. RNAcentral's name for it is "bacterial SSU rRNA". It matches the Rfam family "Bacterial small subunit ribosomal RNA", at positions 1 to 431 of the family's 1533-position model. Lineage: Bacteria; Pseudomonadati; Pseudomonadota; Alphaproteobacteria; Sphingomonadales; Sphingomonadaceae. The record is from RNAcentral.
AAACUUGAGAGUUUGAUCAUGGCUCAGAAUGAACGCUGGCGGCAUGCCUAACACAUGCAAGUCGAACGAAGCCUUCGGGCUUAGUGGCGCACGGGUGCGUAACGCGUGGGAAUCUGCCCUUGGGUUCGGAAUAACAGUUAGAAAUGACUGCUAAUACCGAAUGAUGUCGUAAGACCAAAGAUUUAUCGCCCAGGGAUGAGCCCGCGUAGGAUUAGCUAGUUGGUGAGGUAAAAGCUCACCAAGGCGACGAUCCUUAGCUGGUCUGAGAGGAUGAUCAGCCACACUGGGACUGAGACACGGCCCAGACUCCUACGGGAGGCAGCAGUGGGGAAUAUUGGACAAUGGGCGAAAGCCUGAUCCAGCAAUGCCGCGUGAGUGAUGAAGGCCUUAGGGUUGUAAAGC